RNAcentral lists this ribosomal RNA (482 nucleotides) under uncultured bacterium. RNAcentral describes it as "bacterial SSU rRNA". It matches the Rfam family "Bacterial small subunit ribosomal RNA", at positions 45 to 523 of the family's 1533-position model. The record is from RNAcentral.
UGCUUUCCAUGCAGUCGAACGGCAGCGGGGGCUUCGGCCUGCCGGCGAGUGGCGAACGGGUGAGUAAUGCAUCGGAACGUGCCCAUGUCGUGGGGGAUAACGUAACGAAAGCUACGCUAAUACCGCAUACGUCCUGAGGGAGAAAGCGGGGGAUCUUUGGACCUCGCGCGAUUGGAGCGGCCGAUGUCGGAUUACCUAGUAGGGGAGGUAAAGGCUCACCUAGGCGACGAUCCGUAGCGGGUCUGAGAGGAUGAUCCGCCCCACUGGGACUGAGACACGGCCCAAACUCCUACGGGAGGCAGCAGUGGGGAAUUUUGGACAAUGGGGGCAACCCUGAUCCACCCAUGCCGCGUGAGUGAAAAAGGCCUUCGGGUUGUAAAGCUCUUUCGGCCGGGAAGAAAUCGUGGUCUCUAACAUAGGCCAUGGAUGACGGUACCGGACUAAAAAGCACCGGCUAACUACUUGCCAGCAGCCCCCGGUCA